CUCUUAUAUCUUAUCUCAAAAUUUCAGCCCUGUUGGAGCAGUUUUGAGACCUGUAUAACAUUUGAAGUGCGAUCUGUUCAGAAGCAAAUUUGCUCCGAAUUUCAACAAGAUGUCGAAUGAACCUAGACUCGAUUUUCCAAUGCUUGACUCAACAGGCUCGGAAUACCAUGGCUGGGUAACCAACGUUGAGAACCAUCUCACUACGAGAGGGAUAUUGCCCAUAAUACAGGCACCUAACCAGGGCCUUGUGUUCCAACGAACACCCACAAAGCAUGCUGCUCAAGUAAUUAUCUUGAUGUGAUACCAUAUGGAUCAAUUGAAGCAUUGGUUCAAGCAAUGCCAUGCAAGUACCCAACUAGCUGCAAGCUACAAGGAGUAUAGGCAAUUGAGAGAGCAAGAAAUCAAUCUUGCUGAAGAUGAAGAUAUCAAUCUUGCUGAAGAUGAAGAUGGUGAAGAUAUCACUCUCACCACUGAGGACUUCAAAGUUGUAAAGAGCACGAGGAUGCCGCAGACUUUGAUUAGAAUAGUCCUUUUCUAUUUUCCAAUAAAACGGCAAAUGUGCCUUAGUCAACAAAUGACAAUUGUAUUGACUCUUUCUCAUGUGGCGUACCCAAUGAAGUAUGAUGUCUAGGAAAGUAAUUGAGAUCGGGGUAUUUAAGCGAGCCUCGCUCCACCAACAUCUCUCUACUUCCCUGGUCAUAUUUCAUUGGAAUUACCAAACGGAUUGGCAAUUACAAUUUGUAUAAGUUUGAUUUUAUUUUGGAAUAGAUUUUGGAAACUUUGAUGUAA
Rosa rugosa (rugosa rose) is the source of this 789-nucleotide long non-coding RNA. RefSeq lists it as uncharacterized. Lineage: Eukaryota; Viridiplantae; Streptophyta; Magnoliopsida; Rosales; Rosaceae. The record is from RefSeq and is a predicted model, not a curated record. The transcript has 2 exons.